AUUUAAUUCAAGAUUUUAUUUCUCUUUGAUGGUUUCUUUAGAAACUUAAAAAAAAUAAAUACUGACAAAAGAUAUUACGGUCAGAAUAUCCUCUAAUUAUCCUUAAGUAUUUAGGAUUUAUUUAAAUUAGAAAUAGUACAAUCAUACUCCUAUUAGAUGUCAAUAAAAAACUACAAGAAUGUAAAUGUUUGUAAUUUAGAGGACUGAGUCUUUAAUGAAUUUGGAAAUGUUAACAUUCCUCAGACUGUUUGUUUAAUCAUUCAGUAACUUUUUAUGAUUCUUAAUUCUCUUUGAAAACCUCCAAAUUAGUAUUAGACUUACACUGUGUCCAAGGGAAAUAAAUUAUUAAACUUUAAUUUGAUGUCACAAACACAUUCUUCCUUACUGUAUUUUGACAAGAUCACCUUGAAAUUAUUUGUUUUUCACAACAUUAGGAGUUAUAAUAU
RNAcentral lists this long non-coding RNA (446 nucleotides) under Bos taurus (domestic cattle). Its description in RNAcentral is "long non-coding RNA NONBTAT018742". Lineage: Eukaryota; Metazoa; Chordata; Mammalia; Artiodactyla; Bovidae. The record is from RNAcentral.